AGAACGAACGCUGGCGGCAGGCUUAACACAUGCAAGUCGAACGCCCCGCAAGGGGAGUGGCAGACGGGUGAGUAACGCGUGGGAAUCUACCCAAUUCUACGGAACAACAGUUGGAAACGACUGCUAAUACCGUAUACGCCCUACGGGGGAAAGAUUUAUCGGAAUUGGAUGAGCCCGCGUUGGAUUAGCUAGUUGGUGGGUAAAGGCCUACCAAGGCACGAUCCAUAGCUGGUCUGAGAGGAUGAUCAGCCAACAGUUGGGACUGAGACACCGGCCCAGACUACCUACGGGAGGCAGCAGGUGGGGAAUAGUUCGCACGAAGUAGGGCCACGAAGCCC
This 338-nucleotide ribosomal RNA is filed under the name uncultured soil bacterium. RNAcentral's name for it is "bacterial SSU rRNA". It matches the Rfam family "Bacterial small subunit ribosomal RNA", at positions 26 to 394 of the family's 1533-position model. The record is from RNAcentral.